RNAcentral lists this long non-coding RNA (294 nucleotides) under Triticum aestivum (bread wheat). RNAcentral describes it as "long non-coding RNA (TAES_LNC009614)". Lineage: Eukaryota; Viridiplantae; Streptophyta; Magnoliopsida; Poales; Poaceae. The record is from RNAcentral.
GAAUAUCUGCUACUAUCCUAACAUGUACGUAUAUGCAUGUGUGCUUGCUUGACCGGCGCAUGCAUCACGGUAGCAGCCAAGCCAGUAGGCAUCAUCGACGUCUACUCACAGCUUUCCUCGCACCGGAGAAAGAGUCAAAACAAAAAAAUAUUAGACCAUAAUAUGGCACCAGACCAUAAAUUAGUAACUUUAAAUCACAAAGUAUAUCCACAUCACCAUAAAUUAGUCCCAGACCAUCACGUAGAAGCCAAAUACUAUUAACUGAUGAUUAGUACACACAGACAUGAUUCAGCG